This 132-nucleotide small RNA is filed under the name Klebsiella pneumoniae. Its description in RNAcentral is "RtT sRNA". It matches the Rfam family "RtT RNA". Rfam says of the family: This family represents a bacterial cis-regulatory element known as RtT RNA. The exact function of RtT is unknown although it is thought that it may be involved in changing the cellular response in relation to amino acid starvation. Lineage: Bacteria; Pseudomonadati; Pseudomonadota; Gammaproteobacteria; Enterobacterales; Enterobacteriaceae. The record is from RNAcentral.
UAUUCUGCCCUACAGGGAAGGAUGAGAAGCUUCGACUAAGGUUCGACUCGAGCGAAGCGAGAGAACGUUGCCGCAGGCAACGGCCCGAAGGGCGAGGCGCUUUAGCGCCGAGUAAUCCUUCCCCCACCACUA